Molecule: long non-coding RNA, 2437 nt
Organism: Caretta caretta (loggerhead turtle)
Lineage: Eukaryota; Metazoa; Chordata; Testudines; Cheloniidae
Source: RefSeq, a predicted model, not a curated record
UAUGAGCAGUGGGGUCAGAUGAGGUAAUCAUGGUUCUGAAAUAGAAACAACAUGAGUGAGCAUGUGCAGAAUGAGAUACAGUAAUGUAUGGUGAUAAGCAUGUACAGCCUGAAGAUGAGGUAAUGUGUGUUAGUAAGUAUGCUCAAUAGGGGUUAAGAAUAGCAUUACAAAAAAACCUCUGAUAAAACAGCAUAAAAGGCAGGAAGUUAAGACACUUGACAGAGAACAAGAUUGGAGAGCAGGCAAAGAGGUCAGUCGGGAGCCAGUGAGAAGAGCUGCUGGAAAGGAGCAAAAAGAAAGAUCCAAGGGCUUACCGAGCAAACAGAAAUGUUGUUGAGGAGAUCGAAGAGUUCCAGAGAGAGAGGGUUUAGAAUCCCGAGAAGAACGCUGCUAAGAAAAGCUACUUCAGCAGCAAGUAGCAGCAACAUUAGUAACAAUGUGGUGGAAUCACCAGACAGACCUUGGCAUCAUCUAUGAUUUGUAUAACUUCAACUGACUCCCCUGGUUUCACUGAGGAAUUUUGGUGUUAGCGAAGGUCGCGGAACUGGCACAGGCAGAGAGUGAAACCAUCUUUCCAUCAAACAAACAGGGUACAGCACAGGCAGCGGCAACGCAGACUUCCCUUCACUGUUUCCCAAUAUACUCCCGCUCUGAGCUGGAUGAAUCACUCUAAGGGCUCCAGAGGCAAUCCUGGCAAUUACAGGUCAGUAAGUCUCACUUCAGUACCAGGCAAACUGAUUGAAACUAUAGUAAAGAACAGAAUUAUCAGACGCAUGGAUGAACACAAUAUGUUGGGGAAGAGUCAACACGGAUUUUGUAAAGGGAAAUCAUGCCUCAUCAAUUUGUAGAAUUCUUUGAUGGAUCAACAAACAUGUGGACAAGGGUGAUCCAGUGGAUACAGUGCACUUGGACUUUCAGAAAGUCUUUGACAAGGUCCCUCACCAAAGACUGUUAAGCAAAGUAAGCAGACAUGGGAUAAGAGGGAAGGUCCUCUCAUGGAUCUGUAACUGGUUAAAAGACAGGAAACAAAAAGAGUCGGAAUAAAUGGUCAAUUUUCACAGUGGAGAGAGGUAAAUAGUGGGGUCCCCACUGGGACCAGUGCUGUUCAUCAUAUUCAUAAAUGAUCUGGAAAAAGGGGUAAACUCAGGUUUCAAAGUUUGCAGAUGACAGAAAAUUACUCAAGAUUGUUAAGUCUAAAGCUGACUGUGAAGAGUUACAAAUGGAUCUCACAAACUGGGAGACAGGACAAGAAAUUGGCAGAGGAAAUUCUUUAUUGAUAAAUGCAUAGUAAUGCACACUGGAAAUCAUAAUCCCAACUAUACCAUACAAAACGAUAGGGUCUAAAUUAGCUGUUAUCAGACAAGAAAGAGAUCUUGGAGUCAUUGUAGAUUGUUCUCUGAAAACAUUUCCUCCAGGUGCAGAGGCAGUCAAAAAAGCUAACAGAGUGUUAGGAACCAUUAGGAAAGGGAUAGAUAAUAAGACAGAAAAUGUCAUAAUGUCACUAUAUAAACCCAUGGUACGCCCACAUCUUCAAUACUGCAUGUAGUCCUGGUUGCCAUAUCUCAAAAAAAGAUAUAUUAGAACUGGAAAAGGUACAGAAAGGGCAACAAAAAUGUUUCUGGGUAUGGAACAGCUUCCCUAUGAGGAGAGAUGAAAAAAGACUGGGAUUGUUCAAUUUAUAAAAGAGAUGACUAAGGGAGGAGAUGAGAGACAUGUAUAAAAUCAUGACUGGUGUGCAGGAAGUGAAUAAGGAGGUGUUAUUUACUCCUUCACAUUAGACAAGAACCAGGGGUCACCCAAUGGAAUUAAUAGGCAGCAAGUUUAAAACAAACAUAAGGAAGUACUUCUUCACAUAAUGCACAGUCAGCCCAUGGAAUUCAUUGCCAGGGGAUAUUGUGAAGGCCAAAAGUAAGACUGGGUUCAAAAAAGAAUUAGAUAAAUUCGUGGAGGAUAGGCCCAUCAAUGGCUAUUAGCCAAUGGUCAGUGAGGCAACUCUAUGCUUUGGGUGUCCCUAAAGCUCUGAUUGCCAGAAGCUGGAACUGGGCAACAGGGGAUGGAGCAUUCGAUAACUGCCCUGUUCUAUUCAUUCCCUCUGAAGCAUCUAGCACUGGUUGCUGUCGGAAGACAGCUUUCAGGGCUAGAUGGACGAUUGGUCUGACCCAAUAUAGCCAUUCUUGUGCUUUUAUUGUGUAAGAGGAACAAUCUUUAUUACUUUGCAGCUUAUCAGCAUCAUAUAGUUUUUGAGAUUGAUUAAAUGCCUAAAUCCUAUUUCAGUUAUUAAUGGCAGCAGCUGUUUAAUGUUUUGUGUACCACAAAGCAAAAAAAAUCCUUUAAUUAAAAUGAUACAAUAAAUGAUGAGUCUGUGUGAAUUGUACUAUUAUUACUAAUUUGUGCCUACUGUGGUAGUGUCAGACAUAAGGCCAAAACAACAAGGAGU